AGUGAACGCUGGCGGUAGGCCUAACACAUGCAAGUCGAACGGCAGCACAGUAAGAGCUUGCUCUUACGGGUGGCGAGUGGCGGACGGGUGAGGAAUACAUCGGAAUCUACUUUUUCGUGGGGGAUAACGUAGGGAAACUUACGCUAAUACCGCAUACGACCUACGGGUGAAAGCAGGGGAUCUUCGGACCUUGCGCGAUUGAAUUAGCCGAUGUCGGAUUAGCUAGUUGGCGGGGUAAAGGCCCACCAAGGCGACGGUCCGUAGCUGGUCUGAGAGGAUGAUAGGCCGCACUAGAGCUGGAACAGGGUCCAGACGCCUACGGGAGGCAGCAGUGGGGAAUAUUGGACAAUGGGCGCAAGCAUGAUACAGCCAUACCGCGUGGGUGAAGAAGGCCUUCGGGUUGUAAAGCCCUUUUGUUGGGAAAGAAAAGCAGCAGGUUAAUACCCCGCUGUUCUGACGGUACCCAAAGAAUAAGCACCGGCUAACUACGUG
RNAcentral lists this ribosomal RNA (492 nucleotides) under uncultured bacterium. Its description in RNAcentral is "partial 16S ribosomal RNA". It matches the Rfam family "Bacterial small subunit ribosomal RNA", at positions 29 to 507 of the family's 1533-position model. The record is from RNAcentral.